This 512-nucleotide long non-coding RNA is filed under the name Androctonus crassicauda. The record is from RNAcentral. Lineage: Eukaryota; Metazoa; Arthropoda; Arachnida; Scorpiones; Buthidae.
CGCUCAGAAUAGAACAAACUAGUCAAGAAACAUUUCAUUUUCUAGAUGUAGAAUUCAGCACACAUCUAGGAGAUUAUGUCACAAACGUAUAUAGGAAACCCUCCUACAGCCCAGUGAUCACCCCAGCAUGGUGAAGAGAUCCAAUAUAAUAUAAGAUAGCAGCCUUUGAAGUGAUGAUAAACAGAGCAUUCACACACAUAACGAGAUAGAAUGAAAGAACUAGAUUACAUCUUCGACGUAGGUGAGAAACAUGGGUAUAAUCAUAAAAUGUUAAAAGGAAUAAUAAACAAAGUUAAACGGACCAUUGACAGAAGAGCUAGUAUAGAUAGAAAUGCCCAGAGAGAACAGGGAGUAUAUUAUUCAAAGAUUACAUACUACCCUAUCACAGAUAAGAUUCUGAAUAGAGAAAGUAGAAGAAUGAAUAAAAAGAUGGUGAAAAAGAGAGGGCCUUCAAUAUUUGGUAUACUCCGUAAUGAUAAAGAUCCCAUAGAAGCUACUAAAAAAGCUGGGGU